GAUGGUCAUAUCACGUUGAAACACCGGUUCUCGUAUGAUCAUUGAAGUUAAGCAACGUUGAGCCUGGCCAGUGCAUAGAUGAGUGACCGCUUUGGGAUACCAGGUGCUGUAA
Molecule: non-coding RNA, 112 nt
Organism: Acanthosepion pharaonis
Lineage: Eukaryota; Metazoa; Mollusca; Cephalopoda; Sepiida; Sepiidae
Source: the annotation of a GenBank genome assembly